This 1160-nucleotide long non-coding RNA is filed under the name Nicotiana tabacum (common tobacco). RNAcentral describes it as "long non-coding RNA (NTAB_LNC013619)". Lineage: Eukaryota; Viridiplantae; Streptophyta; Magnoliopsida; Solanales; Solanaceae. The record is from RNAcentral.
GGCUUGAAAUGUGAAUUUUAUGGUUCGGAUAGCUUCGUUAGGUGAUUUGGGACUUAGGAGUGUGUCCGGAAUAUUUUUGUGAUGACCAGCAUAGAAUUUAGCUUGAAUUGGCGAAGUUAGUAUUUUGCCGAAUUCCGGUUGAUAGGUGAGAUUUUGAUCCAGGAGUCGGAAUGGAAUUCCGAGAAUUGUUGUAGCUUUGUUAUGUCAUUUGUGAUGUGUGUAAAAAAUUUCAGGUCAUUCGGACAUCGUUUGGUCGGGGUUUUGAUCGAAAGUAUAUUUUCGGAAGUUUUUGGAAACUUAGGCUUGAAUUCGAUGAUGAUUUGAUGUUUUGAUGUUAUUUUGGGUGUUUCGAAGGUUGGGACAAGUUUGAAUGAUAUUGUGUGACAUGUUGAUAUAAUUGGUUAAGGUCCCGAGGGCCUCGGGUGGAUUUCGGAAGGUUAACGGAAUGAAAUUCGGACCAAAAAGAAAAGAAAAAGCUGCAGAAAUUUCUGCUGCAAUUUUCUGAUUCGGGGAGCCUACUUUAGAAGCUCAUAUCUCGGGAUAUAUAAAGAGGUAUAUGGUGUACAACCUAUCAAAUUAAAGAUCUUCGAGUCUAGUUUCUAAAUCGUCAAUCCGUUUGUCAUUUGGAUACUUAUACAAGACGUUAUGGGUGUUUAAACAGAAGGUGUCCGACAAGGAAAAUUUUUAAUAUGAUAUACAACUUGUAUAGCACAAGUGCAAGGUACAACUCCACGAAGCACGGGCAGAUUCUUUUAUACACGGAUUUGGCUUAUUUCUUUCAUUUCUUUCAUUUGGCUUGGAUUAUUUUGGAGAGAAUUUCAAGGGGGAUUUCAUCAAGCAUCAAAGGUGAGUUGUUUCUACUUAUUUCCAAGUUAAAUACAUGGAUUAGAGCUGAAAACUCAAGUAAAUUAUGGACAAAAAUGGUGGUUUAGGGCUUGAAAGUUAAGAGAAUUAAAUGGUGAUUUGAGGGGUCAAAUGAACUCCGAUUUUUGUGAAUUUGGUAUGUAUAGACUCGUGGCGAGAUAAAGGUCGUAUUGAUGUAAAAAUUUCUGAAUUUUGAGACGUGGGCCCGGGGCUCGGGUUUUGCUAAUUUCGGGAUUUUCGACAUUUUUCGAGUCUUUUCGAUUGGGUUAUAUUACCUUAGCCUAUUGUAACGUAUU